AUGUUCAGAAAAUACUUUGAAAUGUAUUGGAAAAUAAUUAACAUUAUCUUGAGACUUUUCCACUGCGAAGCAUCUUACUCUAAGAAACCAGAUGCUCUUGACAGUUCUUAUACCUCUCCCUUCACCCAGGGCGCCCGGCAGGACCAGGCCGCGCAGCCAGGUUCCGAUGCAGGCCUUAGUAGAAGGAGGUUGCUUACGGCUUUGCUGCAGGCUCAGACAUGGCCUUUUCAACCCUCCAGAGACAUGAGGCUGGUGCAAUUCCAGGCACCCCACCUGGCGGGGCCUUACCUGGGCCUGGAGACAGGGAAUGGUGGAGGGGUUAUUGACCUCAAUGCUUUUGACCCCACGCUCCCCAAGACAAUGUUGCAGUUCCUCGAGCAGGGAGAGGCCACCCUCUCAGUGGCAAGAAGAGCCCUGGCUGCUCAGCUGCCAGUCCUACCACAAUCAGAGGUGACCUUCCUGGCACCAGUCACACGUCCAGGCAAGAUGGUGUGUGUGGGCAUGAAUUAUGUGGACCACUGCAAAGAACAGAACGUGCCAGUGCCCAGGGAGCCCAUCAUCUUCAGCGAGUUCGCCAUCUCCACUGUGGGACCCUAUGAUGAGAUUGUCCUCCCACCCAAGAGCCAGGUUGGUGCCUCGUCACUGCCCUCCAGAGUCACUAAGGCCCAUCACAAGGGCACUUGGAGCUCAGUAUUCAGCCUCUGGGAGCCACCUCUCGCUCACUAG
This is an RNA transcript of Carlito syrichta (Philippine tarsier), 726 nucleotides long. It is a transcript of the gene named fumarylacetoacetate hydrolase domain-containing protein 2A pseudogene, with no coding region annotated. The record is from RefSeq and is a predicted model, not a curated record. The transcript is spliced from 2 exons. NCBI's taxonomy places the organism in Eukaryota, Metazoa, Chordata, Mammalia, Primates, Tarsiidae.